AUUGAACGCUGGCGGCAUGCCUUACACAUGCAAGUCGAACGGUAACGGGCCUUCGGGUGCCGACGAGUGGCGAACGGGUGAGUAAUGCAUCGGAACGUACCUUUCAGUGGGGGAUAACGUAGCGAAAGUUACGCUAAUACCGCAUAUUCUGUACGCAGGAAAGCAGGGGAUCGCAAGACCUUGCGCUGAUUGAGCGGCCGAUGUCAGAUUAGCUAGUUGGUGAGGUAAAGGCUCACCAAGGCGACGAUCUGUAGCGGGUCUGAGAGGAUGAUCCGCCACACUGGAACUGAGACACGGUCCAGACUCCUACGGGAGGCAGCAGUGGGGGAAUUUUGGACAAUGGGGGCAACCCUGAUCCAGCCAUGCCGCGUGAGUGAAGAAGGCCUCGGUUGUAAG
Molecule: ribosomal RNA, 396 nt
Filed under: uncultured bacterium
Lineage: Bacteria
Description: bacterial SSU rRNA
Rfam family: Bacterial small subunit ribosomal RNA
Source: RNAcentral